Long non-coding RNA from Lepisosteus oculatus (spotted gar), 495 nucleotides. RefSeq lists it as uncharacterized. The record is from RefSeq and is a predicted model, not a curated record. Lineage: Eukaryota; Metazoa; Chordata; Actinopteri; Semionotiformes; Lepisosteidae.
UAGGCUUAUCCACCCUUGAAGUCCCAACACCAAACAAGCACCCUGAUGCAUUAACAAGAUGUACCAUCAAAUAUAUUGAAAAAAACUUGUGGCGGACUCAGCAUGAUGCACCGGGACAAAUCAGCAAGAGUUUUUCUAGAAGCAGCUGAGAUGAAAGUGAAACCUUCAAAGUAGUUCCGGAGACAAACAAAAGUUACCAAAGAGAGCUCAUGAGCAGCUCCACGAAGAACUGCCCAAAACACAGCUUUGGCCUUGUUAUUCAGGUGUGUUCCGGGUUCCAUUUUGAAUGAAAGAUGCCUGAGUGGCCUUGUCUUACCUUGCAACAGCGUCACCUGUGUUCUGCUUGGCACCUCUGGGCUGGCGGUACUACUGUAACUCUGACACUUUGGUCAGCCAUCUAUUCAAAGCGUAAACAUGUGCUCACAGGGGAUGUUUAUGAGUUGUCACCAUCUGGUAUACUGUAAGUGAGAGGGCUGUAGCAGUCAGCUGAUUAAG